UCAAAAAAGAAGAAGGUUCCAGUUAAGGCGAUGCAUUACUUACCCCUUAUACCUAAGUUAAAGAGGUUGUAUGCAUCAAUGAGCUCUGGUCCUCAUAUGAUAUGGCACUAUGAAAAUAGAAGGCCACCUGGUAUUCUGUGUCAUCCGUCAGAUGGAGAAGCAUGAAAGCAUUUUGAUAGGGUGUUUCCGAAUUUUGCUAGUGAAUCAAGAAACAUUAGGUUGGGUUUAUGUGCAGACGGAUUCACUCCUUUUUCUGUCUCUGCUGCACUAUAUUCAUGUUGGCCAGUAUUUGUUACGCCGUAUAAUCUUCCUCGUGAGCUGUGUAUGACAAGUCCAUAUUUGUUCCUAACUUGCAUUGUUCCAGGUCCGCGCAAUCCGAAAAGUUUGAUUGAUGUAUACAUGCAACCUUUAAUUGAUGAGUUAAAGUUAUUGUGGCAUGAAGGUGUGGAAACAUAUGAUAUAUCAACCAAACAAAAAUUGCGUGCUGCUUUGAUGUGGACUAUAAAUGAUUUUUCUGCUUAUGGAAUGUUGUCUGGGUGGUCGACUGCAGGAAAGUUAGCUUGCCCAACUUGUAUGGAAGACACAAAAGCAUUCACGUUGAAACAUGGAGGAAAGAAUACAUGGUUUGAUUGCCACCGUCGAUUCUUGCCUAUGGAUCACGAGUUUAGGAGAAAUACUAGUGCAUUUAUGAAGAACCAAACUGAUUUUGAAGAGCCACCGUCACCAUUGUCGCCAGAAGAAAUUUGGAACAGAGUUAGGUUUCUACCAAAGGUAAUAGAGUCUCCAAUGUCUAAUAAGAUACCUGGUUAUGGUGUUACGCAUAAUUGGACUAAACAAAACAUAUUUUGGGAGUUACCUUAUUGGAAGCAUAAUCUUCUUCGACAUAAUUUGGAUGUCAUGCAUAUCGAGAAAAAACUUUUUUGACAACUUGUUUAAUACAAUAAUGGAUGUCAAUAACAAGACAAAAGAUAACUUGAAGGCUAGGAUGGACUUAAAGGAAUAUUGUAGGCGAAGUGAGUUGUACCUAACAUACUUGAACAACAAGAUUCACAAGCCCAAGGCCAGUUACACAUUCACUUUGGAUGAGAGAAGAGAGAUUUGUGAUUGGGUUAAGAAUUUGAGGAUGCCUGAUGGAUAUGCGUCAAACUUAUCCAGGUGUGUUCACAUGAAAGAAGGGAAGUUGACGUCUAUGAAGAGCCACGAUUGUCACAUUUUCCUCGAAUCUUUGAUGCCUAUUGCAUUCAAAGCCUUGCCUGAUAGAAUAUGGAAAUCCAUUAUUGAGAUAGGUUUAUUUUUCAAGGAGUUGUGUUCUAGCACAUUGAAGGUGGAGAACUUAGCUUACAUGGAGAGUAAUAUUUGCUUAACUUUAACAAGCUGGCGAAAAUUUUUCCUCUUGGGUUUUUUGAUGUAAUGGAACAUCUUCCAAUUCAUCUUGCACAAGAGGCACGACUUGGAGGGCCUGUACAAUGUAGAUGGAUGUAUCCUUACGAGAGGUAAUGACUUUAAAUUAUUUUUCCUCGACUUGUUUUAAUUAAACUUUAUUUCAUCUAAAAAUUGUGCUAUGUAGGACUAUUGGAAAAUGUAAGCGGGCUGUAAAAAAUCGAUACAGGAUUGAGGGAUCAAUAUGCAAGGCACAUCUGGCUAAAGAAACUUCUUCUUUCUGUUCAUAUUAUUUUGAACAUGAUGUGUCAUGUUUGAGAAAUAGGCCAAAUCGGCAUGAUGAUGGAGGUGUUAAUAAUCCUUUGGCACCACCAUUUUUCAUAUUCAAUCAACCAGGUAGAGGUUCAAAAACUAGUAAAAACCGAAAUUUGACUGAGAUGGAGAAAAAGUCCGCUACAACACAUGUAUUAUUGAAUUGUCCAGAGGUCCAACCUUAUUAUAAGUAAGUCUUAAUUUGUACUAAAGGCGAUUAUUACAAGAUCAAAGUUAUUUUAACUAAUGAAAGGUAUAAUUUUGUGGGCAGUUACUUAGGUGUAAAUGGGCAUGAUGCUAUUUAUCCAAGAUUUUCAGAGUGGUUUAAGGAGUUUGUAAGUUCUAUUUUGUGGUUACAAAUUAAGUACAUGUAUAUUUAAAAUUCUAACUUUUCUUUAACUUUAUAUAUGUUCAUAAUCCAGUGAAUGGAAUUAAUGACCCAUUUUUGCGCGAUAUAGCUUGGGGAUCUGACCAUAAAGUCAGAAUGAUGUCUAAGUACUUUGUCAAUGGGUACAAGUUUCAUACAGAAGAAUGGUCUAAGAAUAAGAAAACCAAAAUAGUGGGGUGUGGGUAAAGGGUGAUGGAGAUGUUGAUUAUUAUGGUGUGCUCCAAGAGAUUUUAGAACUAGAGUAUUUCGGUUGGCCGAAAAAAAUAUUGGUACUCUUUCGGUGUAAGUGGUAAGAUCCAACACCUACUAGAGGGUUUUUAAUAUACUUAUGUUACACAGAUGGCGCCGGGUAAAAAAAAGAAGAUAAGACACGAUUCCCAGCUUCCUCAGUACACUUCAGGUCCCACUACCUCGUCUGUGCCAUUUAUGGGUCCUCCUCAUCCUCCUCCGCCUCCUCCUCCUCCUCCUCCUCAGCAAACUCCUCCUCCUCCUCCUCCUCCUCCUCAGCAAACUUCACUGCCACCUGGCUUUUUCAUUUUGCCCCCUUGUGAUCCAGUUCGAUAUAAGCCUAUCUCUAAUUCCCAGAGCAUGCACACUAUACCAUCUUCUUCGCCAACUUAGCGUACUAGUCAGCAUGGUGGCUCCUCAUCUAUGCCUCCGUCAUCAUUCACUCCAUACCCAAGCUACCAUGUUAGUCAGAAUGGUGGUUCCACAUCUAUGGCUCCAUCUUCAUCUCCAUCAUCAUCCACUCCUAGUAUUUCUAGGCCGCAUGUUGGAGACUCUACCAUACCGUCAUCCCCAUCCAUUGAUACAUCUACACCUGCUCCUGAUGAUACACAGACUCAGACUUUUGAAGAGAUUGUAUCAUAUGAUUCCCUUACACAGACUGAUUAUCAUUCCUGAUGGGACUACUGGGUUUGUUCCCUCUAAUGAAUCUACGAAGGUUGUUGUGGAUUGUGUUAAAGGAUUUUAUCGAGAUGCUUGGAGUAAAUGGUCAGAUAUACCGUAUAUUUACAGAGAUCAUAUGUGGAAUCAAUUUAGGACAAGGUGUGCAUGGAUUCCCAAAUAUCAUCAGCAAAUAAGUCAUAAUUUCGAAAAAGAAGCUGCUGAUCGGCUUAAAAAUCUCCUUUAUAAAGCUCGAUAGAAGGGCGAGAUGCUCGGUUGGAUACUAAAAGACAUAUGGGAUAGACUUAAUGUGAUAUGGGCUUCUGAAGAAUUUAAGAAGAGAAGCAUUGCUGCAAAGGCUGCCCGAGCCUCCAAUACGGGUGACUCAUUGCACACUGGGGGUUCAAUUAGUAUGGAGACCCAUCGAAGGAGAAUGGAAAAGAAAAAAAGAGAGACUUGUGACUUAUGUUGAGGUCUUUGAGGACAAACAUUUGAAAAAGAAAAAGGAUGGGACAAGAGAAUGGGUCGAGCCGCGUGCUGCGAGGGAAGCCUAUCAACAACGUUUUGAGGAGUGGCGUCAAAGUCAAACCGAUUCCGGGGAUGGUAGCUCAACCCAAGUGUCACUCAAUGAUGUAGCUUCAAUAUGGACGCAGGUGGUUGGUGGCACAAAGAAAGGUAGAACCUACGGUCUUGGAUCACAAUAUUCUGUAGGUCGUUCUACGACAUUGUUGUCUGGUGGUGCGAGUUAUUCGCAAGAUCACGAAGAGGUGGAAGCAUUACGAAAAGAAGUUGAAGAGUUGAAGGAGGAACAGAAAGAAGAUCGCGCAAAUUUUAACAAAUUGCAGAGUCUAGUGGAGAAAUUUAUGAGCGGACGUCCAUUUGGUCCUUUUAAUGGCGAGUAUGGCGGGGAUAAUGAGUUUUAGUUUGUUAUGGUUAUGAUGUUUGAGACAUUAUUAUUUGUUGUAGUUGGAUGUUUAGACUUGGUAAUAUUUACACUUGACUAUGAUUGUAAUAUUUUAGACUAGAUUGAAUGGUGCCAGAAUAAUUAACUCUUUUUGGAUGUUUUAGUUACAAAUAUUUAUGUUUUGCAUUUUA
Molecule: long non-coding RNA, 4060 nt
Organism: Nicotiana attenuata
Lineage: Eukaryota; Viridiplantae; Streptophyta; Magnoliopsida; Solanales; Solanaceae
Exons: 5
Source: RefSeq, a predicted model, not a curated record